Molecule: long non-coding RNA, 206 nt
Organism: Scomber japonicus (chub mackerel)
Lineage: Eukaryota; Metazoa; Chordata; Actinopteri; Scombriformes; Scombridae
Exons: 3
Source: RefSeq, a predicted model, not a curated record
GAAGAAAGCUACAGGGAACAACACACAGAUGAGUCAGGGACUGAGUUUAAACCCUGCAGUGACUCAGUCUGGUUUAGAAACCAGUCAGGACACGGUUGAUCCUGAAGAAGGUGUUUCCUACGCCUCCAUCAGCUACACCAAGAAGACCAACAGUAAAGCCCGGGUAAGAAGUCUGAUUAUUUACACUGGUGAUGUUGGUGAACAAA